RNAcentral lists this non-coding RNA (28 nucleotides) under Mus musculus (house mouse). The record is from RNAcentral. Lineage: Eukaryota; Metazoa; Chordata; Mammalia; Rodentia; Muridae.
UAAAAUGGACCUUAGCUGUGCCCACAGC